This 434-nucleotide ribosomal RNA is filed under the name uncultured bacterium. RNAcentral's name for it is "partial 16S ribosomal RNA". It matches the Rfam family "Bacterial small subunit ribosomal RNA", at positions 29 to 507 of the family's 1533-position model. The record is from RNAcentral.
AGCGAACGCUGGCGGCAGGCCUAACACAUGCAAGUCGAACGAACCUUUCGGGGUUAGUGUCGGACGGGUGGGUACCACGUGGGAACGUGCCCUUAGGUGCGGAAUAACUCACGGAAACUUGAGCUAAUACAGAAGGUGCCCUUCGCGGGAAGGAUUAAUGGCCUUUAGAGCGGCCCGCGAGUGAUUAGCUAGUUGGUUGAGCUAAUGGCUCACCAAGGCGACGGUCAGUAGCUGGUCUGCGAGGAUGAUCAGCCACAUUGGGACUGAGACACGGCCCAAACUCCUACGGGAGGCAGCAGUGGGGAAUCUUGCGCAAUGGGCGAAAGCCUGACGCAGCCAUGCCGCGUGAAUGAUGAAGGUCUUAGGAUUGUAAAAUUCUUUCACCGGGGACGAUAAUGACGGUACCCGGAGAAGAAGCCCCGGCUAACUUCGUG